This 12416-nucleotide long non-coding RNA is filed under the name Olea europaea (common olive). Its description in RNAcentral is "long non-coding RNA (OEUR_LNC013863)". The record is from RNAcentral. Lineage: Eukaryota; Viridiplantae; Streptophyta; Magnoliopsida; Lamiales; Oleaceae.
UGUUGACACAUAAAAAUUCAGCCCAAAAUGAACAACCUAAGAAGUAAAGCCCAAUUGGAGGAUCCCCAAAUUAGAUAGCCCAAAGAACGAAGUCCAAUCGAACAAAUCAAGGUGAAGGCACAAGAAUGCGGUGACGUCAUCGCCCAAGUUUGCAAGUCGCCCAGAAUCUGAACGAAUAGAGUGUCAAACGGUCGCCCAGAGCUGUUACUCUAUUUCUCGCCCAAACCUUCAAGUCGCCCAAAGUAUCAACAAACAUAACGCGUCGUAGUUAUCAAGAAAUGCAGUUAUCAAAGCAGUUGUUAAAGCAGCCCUAUCACGUUCCACGAUUCAAGGAAUUCAAUCGAAAGCGGUUGAACGAUGAAAGGUAAUGGCAGUAGUUAAAAGGCAGUUUUCAUGACAAAAUGGUCACUACGAAGAAAGUGGGUAGUUAUAGGGCGAUCAAGCAGUUUUUAGAGUAGUUAAUCACAAAGGGAUUGCCUAUGAAGUAUAAAAGGGAGAAAGGACAUAGAAGCAAUGACCGAAUCCAAAACUCUCGAACAGAGAAUAUGUAAUUUUCAUUUCCUUAGUUUUUAGACUUAAACACUUUCCUUUCAGUAACUCGUGUGCUUGCGCCCCUUGGAGGCACGUUAUUUUUCGUUUCCAAUUGUAAAGUCAUCGCCAAUAAAAGAACACCCCUUUUUGGGAAUUUGUCCCAAGAGGUUUGUCCCUUACACAAUCGUCUGAUCCUUUUUAAUUGUUAGCGACUAACCCGCGCGAAACAAUUUGGCACGCCCAGUGGGACAGUGGUGUUAGGUGUUGAAAGUACAAAAGGGGAAACAAUAUGCCUCAGAGAUCCGAUAAGGAAGCAGCAAGUCAGGGAGGAAUCCAGUCUGUAAUCGAGCGAUAUGAGGAGCAGCAUGUCUCUCCACGAACAGAUGGACAAAAUCAGAGCAGUAACAGUCGUUACGAACCAAUGACGGAGUUGAGUCCUCGAACUAUGCGUGCAUUACUCGGAGAACUCACGCAAGACGUCGUUGAACAGGUAAAUCUUCGAAGUAUUCAUAAUAUGGAAAGAUUUACACAAAAUGGGAAUGUACACUAUGACAACAUGGCCAAACAACUAAAGACGUUGAAUGAAACAAUGAACAAGUUAGUGGGCCAAAUAUGUCAACCGGCUAUACCUCUUACAAGUCACUUUCAAACUAGGACGAUUGUAGGACAUAAUCCUUCAGUCUCCAAUCUGAGUCAAGGGGUAGAACCACUUUCUGGUCCCUCUACUUCAAACCAAGGAGGUACUACAGUACCAAAUCAAAGCAAUGGUAGUGGUACGCCUAACUUGGGGGGGUAAUCCAAACAUGAGAGAUAAUGUCUUAAACAAUGGACAGAAUAUCCCACAUGGUAAUGAGGGAGUAGAUGUUCAAGCUAAUGGUAAUGGUCCUAAUCAUGGUAAUUUCGUUGCCAAUCAAGGACCAAACAUCAGGCCUCACGCAAACCAACUGGUUAACCAACCUGUAAGAAUUCCAUAUGACCCCAACGUCAUGUUGAGGAACCAGAUUAUGGAAAUCGUACAGGAUCAGAUGGCUUUUGGGGUGCGUCCCGUCAUUAGGCCGACGUACACAAAGCCAUAUCCUGAUUGGGUAGAUCAAGCAUAUCCAUGGCCUAGAGGAUACAAAGUGCCAGAAUUCUCACUGUUUACUGGUUUAGGAGAGGUGUCUACUCUAGAACACAUAGGGCGAUUCACAUUGCAAAGUGGUGAUGUAACUGAUUACCAUAAAAUGAGACUUUUCCCUAGUUCGUUAACAGGAGUAGCCUUCUCCUGAUUCAUCAACUUGCCAACGAACUCUAUUCAAACAUGGCAACAAUUGGAACAGUUGUUUCACGCUCAGUUUUAUAAAACUGAGUCUGAAGUCACUUUAGCCGAUUUGGCGAAUUUACGUCAAAUGCCAAAUGAAUGGGCAGAAAGUUUUCUCCAAAGGUUCAAGACAGCAAGAAGCAAGUGUUUUGUACCUCUGCCCGAAAAAGAAUUUUUCAAAAUCGCUCCAGGCUGCUUGAGCUUUGAUUUAAAAAAGAAGUUCCAGGAUAAAGAAUUCCCUGACCUUUUCCAGUUGAGUGCAAAUGUGAUUAGGUAUGAGCGAUUGAUAAGAGAAGAAGAAGAAAUGAAAAAUUCUAGUAAAGGGACUUAUUACAAAGACCUAAAUUUUAAUGUUCAUACCAUCGACAACGAGUCAUACGAUCAGGCCGAAAUGUGUUUGGCCGAAUUGGUCAAAGGGGAUACAUAUACUUGUCCCAUAAUGACCAAGCCUAGACCAUCGGGCAAAGAUGAGCCUAUAAAGGAUGGAAACAUAAAGGCUAGAACGUUCUCGUUCGAUGUGACCAAAGCUGACCUUAUAUUCGACAAAUUAUAUAGGGAUAAGCAGAUAAGAUUGAGCGAUAAGCACAAAUUGCCAAACCCUGAACAAAUUAAGGGUAAAAAAUAUUGUAAAUGGCAUAAUGCAUGGUCACAUUUGACUAACAAUUGCUUGGUUUUCCGUCAUGUAUUGCAGGAUGCUAUUGAAUCAGGACGAAUUACGUUCGAUGAUAAGAAAAAGAUGGCAGUGGACGAGAAUCCUUUCCCACAGCCACUUGGAGUAAACAUGGCAACAUCUGGAUUCAAGAACAAGUUACCAAAAUUCAAGUUAGUCAUAGAUGACGGAGAAGAAGAUCCUAGAUCACAUCCCAGCGUCUUUGAACGAAUCAAAGGAAAAGAACCAAAAAAGGACGAAGACGUCCUGUGUGCAAGGUGUAAAAGGGAAGUAAAUGGAAACACGGAGAAACCAGAGACAUGGCAGCAUCCUCAUCGCCCUGUUUUCUUCCCAAACGUUCAGUCUGGUAGAGGUAUAGAGGACCGUCUUUUGAAAGGUAGUUCAGACCAGCAGAUGCUGGAAGAACAUUUAGGCCGCAACCUCGCAGGCCAAAUGUAUGGCAUUCAUUCCAGUAUACUGCAGGAAGGGCAAUACCCUUCGAUGAGAUGACUAGGACCCAACAAAGGCGUUUCCAACGAAACUACGGACGGAUGAUGAGGCAGCAACAAGGAAUGCCACAUCCUAAAGCGCCUAUACUACUCAAGGUAGCCAAUCAAAAUGUCCUCAAAGAUAGUGAAGAGACCGGUAUAGAUGAAUCAAUGAAGAAACUGCCAGAAACCUCUUCUGGGAGAUCAAGGUUUGAGAGGGACAAGAGGGAUGAGGAAGAUCCAGAUCAGCCCCUUGCUAUCCAAUUCGGUACGUUGCCUCCUGUUGUGGCCAAUAAUUACCUACUGGCCAAUGAAUUCAAGAAUAAGGAAAAGAAAGAAGAGGGGGAGGACAACGAAGGAGAAGCCUGCAUGUUGAUAUGUGAAGAAGGCCAGACUUCUGGAGAGGCUUACAACGACGAAGAAGACGAUGGGAUGACGGACAUUGAAGAAGAAAUCGAUCUAGAAGCAGAAAGGAAAAAGAGAGGAGUAUCGCGCAAUACUCUGUUUAAGCAACUACAUCAAGAGGGAGUUCGCGAAGUAGACUUGUUGGGGGAGCCAUCUGGGCGACCUUUCGAUUUCUACGUACUGUACGGGACACCCAAAAGGAAGAAGAGAGUGCCUCGCUCUGAAAAAUAUGGGUCACCUCCAAGGAUAAUGCCCCCUUCCACAGGUUGGAUAACCGACGAGGAAGUAUUAGAAAAAAGUAAGAAGGAAGUUUAGAGGACAGAGGAUCAGCGUGACAUACUGCAAGUCGACUUGUCACAAGGGGAUAAUUCAACAGAAAACAAACAAGAGGUAGAAAUAGAGGCUGCCGAAAAGGUUAUUUUUAAACGUCCAGCCAUGAAAUUGACUAAACACUUGAGGCCGUUGUACGUUAAAGCUCUAGUCAACGGCGUUCCAGUGGCAAAAGUGUUUGUCGACAAUGGAGCAGCUAUAAACACGAUUCCAAGUAGGAUGAUGAGAAAGUUCGCAAAAACAGAGGGUGACAUGAUCCCUACAGAAGUCAUCCUUACUAGCUUCAAUGGAGGAGCAACUUCGCUAAGGGAGUUAUGCCAUUAGACAUAACUAUAGGUACGACUACUAGGACCACUGUCUUCUUUGUAAUAGAUGGUUCUACUAGUUACAACGUGCUCCUGGGAAGGGAUUGGAUACACGAAAGUCGCUGUAUACCCUCGUCGCUCCAUCAAUGCCAUAUUUUUUGGAAUGACAAAGGCGAAGCAGAGGUAGUACAGGCCGAUCAUAGGCCUUUUGUCGUAGAAGUAAACUCGGUGGAGAAGUUCAUGUACGAAGGAAACUAUGGACCUGUCAGAGUAGUGCAAGACGGGGAAGAAACUCAGGUCGUCGCACAAAGCGAAGAACAAUUCUCAAUGGAUGCACUCACUGAAAUGUUCAAACAAAUGCGGCCAAAUAUAGUGGCCCUGGAAGAGCCAGUGAUUGGCAAAAGGAUAAUUAAAGAGUCUUGAAUGGACUUUAAAUUACGAAAGCAAAUGUCCGACAUUCAGGCCUUCAAAGCCAGACUGAUGGCUUUCAACAAGGAAUACAAUGACAAAGCAAAGGAAGAGACUGCCCUAAAAGUGCUGAAGGACAAGUUGGCAGUGUUCGAGUUAGAGCAAAGUAUUGGUCGAGAAGUGAACAAGGUGGAUUGUUUGGAAGAGGAAGUACUUACAAAAGAACUGGACAACGAAGUGAUGCGGAUUGCCAAACCUGGAUACGCUCAAGCACAAGACCCUCUGAUCAAAGUAAAUAUUGGCGAUGAAGGAGAAGAUCACCCAACGUUCAUCAGCCAGAUGCUCGACCAAGAGGUUAGUAACGAAUUAAUCGCUUUGUUAAAAGAGUACAAAGAUUGUUUUGCUUGGGAAUAUGAACAAAUGCCUGGUUUAGAUAGAAAUUUGGUGGAACAUAGGUUACCAACUAAGCCUAAUUUUAAACCUCAUAGGCAACCUCCUAGGCGUUUUGCUCCUGAUGUACUCCCUGAGAUUAAAAAAGAGAUAGAGCGAUUAUUAAAAGCAGGUUUUAUAAGAACAGCCAAAUAUGUUGAAUGGUUGUCGAAUAUUGUGCCAGUACUAAAAAAGAAUGGUAAACUAAGGGUGUGUAUAGACUUUAGGAAUUUAAACAUAGCUACACCCAAAGAUGAGUAUCCAAUGCCCACGGUGGAUUCUUUAGUAGAUUCAACUGCUGGACAUGUCAUGUAUUCUUUCAUGGAUGGGUAUUCAGGAUACAAUAAAAUUUAUAUAGCUGAAGAAGACAUACACAAAACUGCCUUUAGAUGCCCUGGGUCUCUGGGAUGUUUUGAUUGGGUAGUUAUGCUUUUCGACCUAAAAAAUGCAGGGGCAACUUAUCAAAGGGCAAUGAAUUUAAUCUUUCAUGAUAUGAUAGGCAAGUUUGUUGGGGUGUAUGUAGACGACAUAGUAGUCAAGUCCAUUAAAGAAAAGGACCAUUUCGGACAAUUAAGAUGCUCGUUUGAACGAAUGAGGCAGUACAAACUAAAGUUGAAUCCCUUGAAGUGUGCAUUUGGUGUUAAUGCAGGGAACUUUCUUGGUUUCUUAGUACACAAGAGAGGGAUUGAGCUUGAUAAAAAUAAAGCGAAGGCGAUUUUAGAAGCCAAACCACCUAACAACAAAAAGGAGUUGCAAAGAUUUCUAGGCCAAGUAAAUUUUUUAAGACGCUUUAUUUCUAACUGUGCAGGGCGAACUAAAGUCUUUUCGCCGCUAUUAAAGCUGAAAAAUCAGGACGAAUUCGUCUGGAAAGAAGAACAUCAAAAGGCUUUUGAAAGCCUGAAGACAUAUCUAUCAGGCCCACCAGUGUUGGUGUCACUAAUCCAAGGACGACUGAUGAAAGUGUACGUGUCGGCUGAAAAAGAAUCAAUAGCUGGAAUGGUUGCACAGGAAGACCAAUUUGAUGAAGAAAUGGCAAUUUACUACUUAAGUAGACGGUUAACGAAAUGUGAAUGUAAUUACUCCGCUGUUGAAAAAUUAUGUCUUGCACUGUAUUUCACAUGUACAAAAUUAAGGGCUUAUUUGCGGCCUGUAAUCGUUUAUUUAAUUUCUAAAGUAAAUUUAGUUAAGUGUAUGUUCUCACGCCCUAUUUUACACCAAAGGGUAGGCCUUUGGACACUAGUUUUAUCAGAGUUCGAAAUACAAUAUAUACCUCAAAAGGCAGUCAAAAAUCAGGCUUCGGCUAACUUUCUAGCCGAUCAUCCAUGCCUUGACAUGCCUGAAGAAAUCGAAUUAGAAAUCAAUUCGUUCGAAUUAAAACCUUGGGUAUUGUAUUUCGAUGGGUCAAAAACCUCUAAAUGUGCAGGAGUAGGAGUAGCAUUAAUUAAUCCUUUAGGGAUUUGCUACAAGUUUGCAUUCACCUUAGACAGAAUGUGCACCAACAAUCAGGCCGAAUAUGAAGCUUUGAUUGUAGGCCUAGAACUAAUGAUAGAUAUGGGAGUAAGAAAUGUGAUCGUUAAGGGCGAUUCUCAAUUGGUGAUACAUCAAUUGAUCGGUGAUUUUAAAUGCCAAAGUGAUUCCAUUAUAAGUCAAUAUGAGAUCGCCCAAGAAUUAUUAGAGGAAUUCGAUCAAGUAGAACUUCAAUGCUUUAAUAGGAUAUAUAACGACGUGGCAAAUGAGUUAGCCCAAAUGGCUUCAGGGUACUCAAAGGUCUUGGAUUGGAAAUCUACUUGUGAGUAUAGAAUCAUAUUGCCCGUAACUCAAAGAAGGGCGAGAAAAACUGAACUUCACUGUAUACAAGAUGGAGAUGCAGUGGAUUGGCGAACAGAGAUUAAAGGGUUCCUUAAAAAACCUAAUGGAGGGAUUAGUAGAAAACGAAGCUAGUUCGCUGAAUUACACACUAAUAGAUGAAGAGUUAUUUAAGAAAUGCUCUUAUGGUGUAUUACUAAAGUGUGUAAGUUUGCAAGAAGCCAAGACGAUCAUGGCUGAAGUGCACGAAGGGAUAUGUGGAGCUCAUCAAGCUGGCCAAAGGAUGAGAUGGUUAAUUAUUAGGAGUGGAUAUUUUUGGCCAAAGAUGGGAGAACUAUGAGUUCAGUAUGCAAAAAGUUGUUUAGCAUGCCAAAAGCAUGGUCCAAUACAAAGGGCGCCAGCACGAGAAAUGGCACAUAUUAUUAAGCCUUGGCCGUUCAAAGGUUGGGCGAUAGAUCUAAUAGGGAAAAUCUACCCCCCAUCGUCCAAGCAACAUACUUUUGUUAUAGUUGCAACAGACUAUUUCACCAAAUGGGUAGAAGCGGUACCUUUGAAAGAGAUCACCCAGAAGAAUGUUAUAGAGUUUAUCCGUGAUCACAUCAUUUAUAGGUUUGGAAUUCCACAAACUUUAAUGGUAGAUCACGGAACAUCUUUGAAUGGAGAUCAAGUGAACAAAUUUUUGAACGAAUUUGGGGUUAAAUUAGUAAACUCCACACCGUACUACGCUCAAUCCAACGGACAAACAGAAUCCUCUAACAAGAUUCUAAAAAAUAUCAUCAGGAAGAUGAUAGACGAAAACGCCAGAAAUUGGCACGAAUGUUUGAACAAGGCCUUAUGGGCUUAUAGAACAUCACCUCGGUCAAGUACCAAAAUUACUCCUUUCCAACUUGUUUAUGGACAGGAGGCAGUUUUGCCUAUGGAAAUCAACGUGCAAUCUAUUCGAGUGUGCUUACAACAUAAGUUGAAUGAUGAUGAGUAUGCCGAAUCACUAGUUCAAAAUUUAUUGAGUUUAGACGAAUUGAAGUUGGACAUUUUAGAUAGGUUGCAAGUUCAAAAGCAAAGAAUGGCUAAGUUUUAUAAUAAAAAAGUCAUAGCCAAGUCGUUCAGCCUGGGUGAACUAGUUUGGAAAAUGAUACUCCCUUUGGAUACCAAAGAUCCAAAGUACGGGAAGUGAUCGCCCAAUUGGAAAGGACCAUACAAAAUAAAUAGUGUGUUGCCUAAUGGAGCGUACAACUUGGAAGAUUUAGACGGCACCUAGCACGUAAGAUUCAUUAACGGCAAAUAUUUGAAAAAAUAUGUUCCUUCUUUAUGGGAAUGUGAACAGGUAAAAACAUAACCAAACAUUCUGGACGAUCAAAAGAUAAUAAAGACAGAGCGAAAUACGUUCAAAUAAAGUUCUUUAUUACCAAACGUUCAUUACAAGAAUACAAAAGAUACAAAUAAUGGACGUGUUACAAAAUACAACUAAAGUAAGACGAUCUCCAAGUCGAUCGCUGAGUAAGCUUCACACCGCCUUCCUAAAUGCAUUGCUGUAAUGGUGGGAUCGACGAGUAAGAGGGUGUACUGGCCUCACCACCUUCCUAAAUGCAUCGCUGCAAUGGUGGGAUUGACGAGUGAGAGGGUGUACUGGCCUCACCACCUUCCUAAAUGCAUCGCUGCAACGGCGAGCAAAUAGGCUGAGAAACACUCUCAGCAGGCAAGCUGAGAAGCACUCUCAGCAAGCAAAGUGGCCCACAAGCAACCCAAAAAUUGCCUUCCAUCAUUGACUCCUUGUGAAGAACAAAGAGACGAUGGGAAGAAUUUUGCAGGAAAGAACUUCGCUGCUGGCCAGAAAAUAUUUCCUAUACCUCCCAUACCAAAGGUGACAUCAAGGUAAAUAAGCAGUUAAAUGCUUAAAGAAUUGAUGAUUAGAAAAUAAACAUCAAAUAAAUGCACAAGAAAUUAAUGUUCAUUAAUAGUGAACAAAGUUACAAAGAGAAAAAUCGAAUUACAAAAAAAAAAAAAAAAAAAGACAUUGUAUGUCUUAAUUACAGUCUACCCCAUAAUGAACGAAUUCGUUCCCUAAGUUUUUUCCAAUCCUCUUUCUGUCGAGAGGAAGUGAUGUUCAAUUUAGCCGUGACGUCAUCAUCAUCAACUUCCAAUUUCUUGUACUGUUUGACCAAAGACUUAGUUCGCUCAAUUCCCUGGGAGGCGUUGCGCUUUUUAGUAGCCAUCCUCGCCCUGCAAUCAUCCAUUUUAGCUUGAAGUUCUCUCAUCUGAGCAGCCAAGUUAACCAUCAAAGAGUCUUCAAUCAUGACUUCGGAAGAGAUUUCUUUCAACUCGUCCUUAGCCUUGUUGAUCUCCAUGUGCAAAGACUUUUUCUCAGCUACGGCUCGAAGAUAUUGAGUACGCUUCGCCUUUAGUUCAGCAUUCUUGGCCAGCAUAGAAAGGACCUCGGAGUGAAUGACCUUCAACGUCGCUUUAAAGUCGGCAGAAAGAUUGAGCGACGGAAGCGUCAGUGCUUGCUCCAACUUCGCACUCAGGUGCUCAAGUUCAUCCUUAUGUCUGGCAGCACUAGCCCUUCCAAUGUCCAUAUCCAUGAAGGAUACAUACUCAAAUACCAACUCCUUCAAGAACUUCAAAUCUUCUUCUGAAGAAGUAGCAGGACAAUCAGAUGGAGCAGGGCGAGGCAUUUGGACCUGCCCCCAGGAAGCGAACAAGUCCUGGAUAGAACGCACAAUUCUGUCAGCAUCCUGUAAGGAAAAUUACCAACAUUAAAAAUCCUCACUACAACGAACAAGGUGGAAAUAAAAAUGAAGCAAAGACUACCUCGUCAACAAUCGUAGAAGAUGGCGGGCCCUCAGCCAAGCUUGCCACCAACGACUCAUCCAUUCGUGAAGACUUCCCCUUGUCCGAGCGAGAAGAUGUUGCCACAACGGGCGGACUCAUAGGAGUAUUUGCAAAGCUCAAGGGCAACAAAUCAAAAACCAAUAGCACGAGCAAAGGUAAGACAUCAAAAACUGAAUUACCUUCUGCUUCGAUGUUUGGGGGGUUGACGCCCUGGGAAGAAGGUGGCUCAUCCAUGGGUUGUGAUGAGGAUUCUGGGACUGAAGAUGUCUCUUUAAGUGUAGCCCCCUCAUCAACCGGUUUGGAUGAAGUACCCUCAACAGAAGAUGAUGGAGCAGGAGUUGUCGAUGUCAAAGCCUUUAAAGGAGAGGCUGAACUUUUCUGAGAAAUCCAAAAGAUCAUCAGCACGCAGAAAAGUUUCAAGUGUUGAAAGAUGUACUUGUAAGUAAGCCAAUUUAAUUACCUUCCUCCUGACAAUAAGAGGGGCAUCAUCAUCAUCAUCGACAUCAUCCUCCAGAAUGGGAGAUGCUGAGGCUGGCCGUUUGCGGCUUGGAGCACUCUUGGCCGUAGUAGGCUUGGCGGGGAGGGAAGAAGAUGGACGAGCAGAUGGUUUAGUGCGACGAGAAGGAGAGGGGCUCCAAAUAGACAAAGGAGUGACCAAAACAGGAGGAGGAGAAGAGAUACUCGGUUGGUCUAAUGAAUGAAAGGCACGAUUGGCCUCAGUCGCAAAUAAUCUGCGCUUCACCGAUGGCCAGAGUUGUUCAAAAAGAGGGUGAGUAGCAUGACAAGAAUUAAAAGGGGCCAAUGAAAAGUGGCUUGAUAAAUGGAGGUUGCGAGCGUUUAUAGCCUCUGCCUCCGCCUUAUUAAUGGUAUGAAAACGGUCAAUUAAGUUCUGCGAAUAGCAAAGAGGAACAGGCCAAGUUUGGCCAAAACCAAGCUGACGAGCAAAAAAUUGGGGAGCAUAAAUUUCUACUCCCGCUUUGGCAUUGGUCCCAGUUAAGAUAUCAUGGAAAAGCUCCCUCCCGGUUAAAAACUGGAUCCAAAUGAGCAGGGAGGUGCUCGCGCUAUCUAUAGUAGAAGGGGGAUGUACAUAAUUUGGAGUCAAAAAAGGAGGAAAAGGAAAAAAGGAAGAGAUUGAAUCUAAAGAAUAAAAGAAGGAAAAAAUGUCCCUUCUGGACAUAUUUACAGGAGUUAAGGGCUCCAUAGCUAGCCCGUAACAGCUAGCAGAAGGACGAGAAAUGAAUGGAGCACCAAGCGAUGGAAAAUAGGAUCUCAACCACAGUUGAGUGAACCAAAGAGGUCCACUGCCAGUGGGAGAUGCACCAUUCUUUAAUUGAGCUUGAAGAAAAGCCAUACCUCUAUAAGGGGCAGCCAAAAACAAAGAACAUAAAUUCAAAGGCCUGCCACGCGCCAUUUCGUGCGCUAUAGGUAAAUAACUCAGAGAAGGCUUUAUACUUGGCACACACAAAACAUAUUUACAAAACCAAACUAAAAGAAAGGCCACUCGCUCAGCAUGUGUAGGCUCAGCGCUCGAAUGAUUGUGGAGGGUCUGCAGGCUUGAAUAAGAAUCGGUGUAGUUUUUGCCAAACUUUAGGGCGCCACCAGAAACUAAGAUACCUGGGAAAAUGGUAUCGCCCAAAGGUGGCAGAUUCACCAGGGCCCCAACAUCCCUUAAGGUAAUAGACAUGGGGCCAAGGGGGAAAAUAAAGGUGUUAUACUCAGGGGACCAAAAACUCAAAGCAAUCGGAAAGAGCGCUGAAUCAAAAGUAGGGGGCAAAUAGAGAUUUCCAACAAAUCAGAAAUCCUAGCGCUAUCAAAAAGUGCCUUAGUAGGACCAUGACCCACAAGACGAGCAUGCCACCUACGAAAAGCUACGUCAGAUUUAGGCCAAGUGCGAAUACCUCUUUCGCGAAGUGGCUACAACGGUAAAGAAUUCAGGAAUGGAGGACCUUGAGUGCAAGGAAACACUUCCAACAAAUCAGAAAUCCUAGCGCUAUCAAAAAGUGCCUUAGUAGGACCAUGACCCACAAGACGAGCAUGCCACCUACGAAAAGCUACGUCAGAUUUAGGCCAAGUGCGAAUACCUCUUUCGCGAAGUGGCUCCAACGGUAAAGAAUUCAGGAAUGGAGGACCUUGAGUGCAAGGAAACAGUUAACCCACCGCCGCUUGUUCAACUGCCUCUGCAUUGUUGAAGAAAGGACCCAAGUAGAACUCAUUACGUCCAACGUCGGCAGGUGCGAGAAAACUUGGGGUUAUGUAUGGGCGACUCAGAAGUCUCUGAAAGUCGUCAAAACUGAAAGAAUCGCUAGCUUGAGAUUGUGAAGCAGCCAUUGGAGAAGGAACGAAGCUUGUCAGGGUUACGUAGCAAGGAAGCAAAAGAUGAACAGUGAAUCGUGAAAGAGACGCAGAAAAUAUGAGGCGUGGUUUGGUAGCAGUGAAAUGACGUGUUCGAGGUUUAUAAGGGUUUGCAAAACGACGCACCUUUUCAAGUUAUAGAAAGAAACAAUGAUUGAAAUUCUUGGGAAUUUCGAACGUUGCUAGAAACACAAAGUGAAUAUGGCAAAAUUCAAUAAUUAUUAUUAAUUCUGCCAUAUUGAGGGGUAAUUGUUGACACAUAAAAAUUCAGCCCAAAAUGAACAACCCAAGAAGUAAAGCCCAAUUGGAGGAUCCCCAAAUUAGAUAGCCCAAAGAACGAAGUCCAAUCGAACAAAUCAAGAUGAAAGCCCAAAUAAGGAGGCCCAAGAAUGCGGUGACGCCAUCGCCCAAGUUUGCAAGUCGCCCAGAAUCUGAACGAAUAGAGUGUCAUACGGUCGCCCAGAGCUGUUACUCUAUUUCUCGCCCAAACCUUCAAGUCGCCCAAAGUAUCAACAAACAUAACGCGUCGUAGUUAUCAAGAAAUGCAGUUAUCAAAGCAGUUGUUAAAGCAGCCCUAUCACGUU